Small nuclear RNA from Hippoglossus stenolepis (Pacific halibut), 182 nucleotides. RefSeq annotates it as U2 spliceosomal RNA. The record is from RefSeq and is a predicted model, not a curated record. The transcript has a single exon. NCBI's taxonomy places the organism in Eukaryota, Metazoa, Chordata, Actinopteri, Pleuronectiformes, Pleuronectidae.
AUCGCUUCUCGGCCUUUUGGCUAAGAUCAAGUGUAGUAUCUGUUCUCAUCAGUUUAAUAUCUGAUAUGUCCUCUAUAUGAGAGACCCUCAAGAUUUCCAUGAGGGGCAGAAAUUUGGAGCUUGCUCCUUUCUCUCCACGCACGACCUAGCAUUGCAGUGUCGCUGGGAGCGGUGCCUCUGUU